Molecule: ribosomal RNA, 528 nt
Filed under: Phyllodactylus sp. TR-2015a
Lineage: Eukaryota; Metazoa; Chordata; Lepidosauria; Squamata; Phyllodactylidae
Description: partial 16S ribosomal RNA
Rfam family: Bacterial large subunit ribosomal RNA
Source: RNAcentral
GGCCUUUAGCCCCACAAGUAUUAAAGGUCCCGCCUGCCCAGUGAACCACUUUAAACGGCCGCGGUACUCUAACCGUGCAAAGGUAGCGUAAUCACUUGCCCCCUAAAUAGGGGCUUGUAUGAAUGGCUAAAUGAGGGCCUAACUGUCUCCUGCGCCAAGCCAAUGAAACUGCUCUCCCAGUACAAAAGCUGGGAUAAUCACACAAGACGAGAAGACCCUGUGGAGCUUUUAACUAGCGCACCAAAUCACAUCCCAUGGUGCUAACUUUAAGUUGGGGCAACUACGGAGAAUUACCUAACCUCCAUGAAACAGGACUCAUGUCCGCCCAAGGUAUACAAACCAACGACACCCCCCCCAGACCCAGCUUAACGCUGAGCAACGAACCAAGUUACCCCAGGGAUAACAGCGCCAUCCCCCUCAAGAGUUCCUAUCGCCAGGGGGGUUUACGACCUCGAUGUUGGAUCAGGACACCCCGGCGGUGCAGCCGCUGCCAACGGUUCGUUUGUUCAACGACUAAUGUCCUACGUG